UACGUAGGGGGCAAGCGUUGUCCGGAAUCAUUGGGCGUAAAGCGCGCGUAGGCGGCCCGGUAAGUCCGUUGUAAAAGUCGAAGGCUCAACCUUCGAAAGCCGAUGGAUACUGCCGGGCUAGAGUCCGGAAGAGGCGAGUGGAAUUCCUGGUGUAGCGGUGGAAUGCGCAGAUAUCAGGAGGAACACCCAUAGCGAGGGCAGCUCGCUGGGACGGUACUGACGCUGAGGCGCGAAAGCGUGGGGAGCGAACAGG
This 253-nucleotide ribosomal RNA is filed under the name uncultured bacterium. RNAcentral's name for it is "partial 16S ribosomal RNA". It matches the Rfam family "Bacterial small subunit ribosomal RNA", at positions 524 to 776 of the family's 1533-position model. The record is from RNAcentral.